Caenorhabditis elegans is the source of this 74-nucleotide small nucleolar RNA. Lineage: Eukaryota; Metazoa; Nematoda; Chromadorea; Rhabditida; Rhabditidae. The record is from Ensembl.
AUUUUUUAUCAGAGUCAUGUACUAUAAGCAAGCCUUGAGCUUUGCACUGACGCAUUUACUCUGAUAGGUGAAGU